This 692-nucleotide ribosomal RNA is filed under the name uncultured Serratia sp. RNAcentral's name for it is "bacterial SSU rRNA". It matches the Rfam family "Bacterial small subunit ribosomal RNA", at positions 780 to 1472 of the family's 1533-position model. The record is from RNAcentral. Lineage: Bacteria; Pseudomonadati; Pseudomonadota; Gammaproteobacteria; Enterobacterales; Yersiniaceae.
AGAUACCCUGGUAGUCCACGCUGUAAACGAUGUCGAUUUGGAGGUUGUGCCCUUGAGGCGUGGCUUCCGGAGCUAACGCGUUAAAUCGACCGCCUGGGGAGUACGGCCGCAAGGUUAAAACUCAAAUGAAUUGACGGGGGCCCGCACAAGCGGUGGAGCAUGUGGUUUAAUUCGAUGCAACGCGAAGAACCUUACCUACUCUUGACAUCCAGAGAACUUAGCAGAGAUGCUUUGGUGCCUUCGGGAACUCUGAGACAGGUGCUGCAUGGCUGUCGUCAGCUCGUGUUGUGAAAUGUUGGGUUAAGUCCCGCAACGAGCGCAACCCUUAUCCUUUGUUGCCAGCGGUUCGGCCGGGAACUCAAAGGAGACUGCCAGUGAUAAACUGGAGGAAGGUGGGGAUGACGUCAAGUCAUCAUGGCCCUUACGAGUAGGGCUACACACGUGCUACAAUGGCAUAUACAAAGAGAAGCGACCUCGCGAGAGCAAGCGGACCUCAUAAAGUAUGUCGUAGUCCGGAUUGGAGUCUGCAACUCGACCCCAUGAAGUCGGAAUCGCUAGUAAUCGUAGAUCAGAAUGCUACGGUGAAUACGUUCCCGGGCCUUGUACACACCGCCCGUCACACCAUGGGAGUGGGUUGCAAAAGAAGUAGGUAGCUUAACCUUCGGGAGGGCGCUUACCACUUUGUGAUUCAU